GGAGUUAGCCGGUGCUUCUUCUGUGAGUGAUGUCCUUCCUGCCGGCUAUUAACCCGCAGGCCUUCUUCCUCACUGAAAGUGCUUUACAACCCGAAGGCCUUCUUCACACACGCGGCAUGGCUGGAUCAGGGUUGCCCCCAUUGUCCAAUAUUCCCCACUGCUGCCUCCCGUAGGAGUCUGGGCCGUGUCUCAGUCCCAGUGUGGCUGAUCAUCCUCUCAGACCAGCUACGGAUCGUCGCCUUGGUGAGCCGUUACCUCACCAACCAGCUAAUCCGACAUAGGCUCAUCCGAUAGCGCGAGGCCCGAAGGUCCCCCGCUUUCCCCCGUAGGGCGUAUGCGGUAUUAGCCUGGGUUUCCCCAGGUUAUCCCCCACUACCGGGCAGAUUCCUAUGCAUUACUCACCCGUCCGCCGCUCGCCACCAGGGAGCAAGCUCCCCGUGCUGCCGCUCGACUUGCNUGUGUACGUCGUCGCCGCCGACGCGUACUACUCUCGACGACCGACGAACUACUAACCUACGUACGUACGUACGACGGCGGGCGUCGGACGACGGACGGCGACGUAG
This 563-nucleotide ribosomal RNA is filed under the name uncultured bacterium. Its description in RNAcentral is "partial 16S ribosomal RNA". The record is from RNAcentral.